AAAUGAUCGAAACGUCGGACCAAUGGGAUGAAGGACCAUUUAGGUGUCGGAAUAUUGCGAUAUCGGAAUAUUAUAGCUUCAUUUUAACUUGUAAUCUCAUCAUUCUUAUCAGUCAAAAUAUCCAUACAAAGACAACUUCCUUGGCAUGGGCAUAUACCAGUACAGCAGAGGUUUUGCUCAAAGCGGACACAAGAUCUACUAUAUACAGAUUGAAUUAAAAAUUGGAAAUGGACAUGAGGAAUUUGUCAAAGAGACACCAACCCGUUCAAAAAGCAGACAACGGCCGAUGAC
RNAcentral lists this long non-coding RNA (291 nucleotides) under Mytilus galloprovincialis (Mediterranean mussel). The record is from RNAcentral. Lineage: Eukaryota; Metazoa; Mollusca; Bivalvia; Mytilida; Mytilidae.